RNAcentral lists this ribosomal RNA (495 nucleotides) under uncultured bacterium. RNAcentral describes it as "partial 16S ribosomal RNA". It matches the Rfam family "Bacterial small subunit ribosomal RNA", at positions 28 to 506 of the family's 1533-position model. The record is from RNAcentral.
GAUGAACGCUGGCGGCGUGCCUAAUACAUGCAAGUCGAGCGAACAGACCCGGCUCUUGCUCCUCUGACGUUAGCAACGGACGGGUGACUAACACGUGGCUAACCUACCUCUCAGACUUGGAUAACUUCGGGAAACCGGAGCUCAUACCGUAUCAUAUCUUGAACCGCAUGGUUCAAUAGUGAAAGACGGUUUGCUGUUACUUAUAGAUGGAUCCGCUCCGCAUUAGCUAGUUGGUAAGGUAACGGCUUACUCAGGCAACGAUGCGUAGCCGAGCUGAGAGGGUGUUGGGCCACUGUGGAACUGAGACACGGUCCAGAGACCUACGGGAGGCAGCAGCAGCGAAUCGACGGCGAUGGGCGAAAGCCUGAAGGAGCAACGCCGCGUUGGUGAUGAGGGUCUGCGGAUCGGAAAACGCUGUUAGGAGGGAAGAACAAAUGUGGAAGUAACGAAGCGCGUCUGGACGUUACCUAAGCAGAAAGCCACGCCUAACUCCGU